RNAcentral lists this ribosomal RNA (376 nucleotides) under uncultured organism. RNAcentral's name for it is "partial 16S ribosomal RNA". It matches the Rfam family "Bacterial small subunit ribosomal RNA", at positions 527 to 896 of the family's 1533-position model. The record is from RNAcentral.
GUAGGUGGCAAGCGUUGUCCGGAAUUAUUGGGCGUAAAGCGCGCGCAGGCGGUCCUUUAAGUCUGAUGUGAAAGCCCACGGCUCAACCGUGGAGGGUCAUUGGAAACUGGGGGACUUGGGUACAGAAGAGGAAAGCGGAAUUCCAAGUGUAGCGGUGAAAUGCGUAGAGAUUUGGAGGAACACCAGUGGCGAAGGCGGCUUUCUGGUCUGUAACUGACGCUGAGGCGCGAAAGCGUGGGGAGCAAACAGGAUUAGAUACCCUGGUAGUCCACGCCGUAAACGAUGAGUGCUAAGUGUUAGGGGGUUUUCCCGCCCCCCUUAGUGCUGCAGCUAACGCAUUAAGCACUCCGCCUGGGGGAGUACGGCCGCAAGGCUG